Molecule: long non-coding RNA, 169 nt
Organism: Scomber japonicus (chub mackerel)
Lineage: Eukaryota; Metazoa; Chordata; Actinopteri; Scombriformes; Scombridae
Exons: 3
Source: RefSeq, a predicted model, not a curated record
CACACUCAUAUUAACUUUACCGGAUAAAAAUAAGAUGCUGAUUCCUUAUUUAGCCAUCGCGGGUGGAGCAGUCUUGAUUCUGAUGAUACUAAUAACAGUGGGAGUGUUCAAGAAAUGCAGGGGGAGAUCAGAGGCUGUGUCUUCAUCUCAAAUGCACACCAUUGAGGUC